CAGUCGAGCGGUAUAUACUUAAAUGAAACUUCGGUCGAGUGAUGGUAUAGAGAGCGGCGGACGGGUGAGUAACGCGUAGGCAACCUGCCCCAUACAGAGGGAUAGCCUCGGGAAACCGGGAUUAAAACCUCAUAACGCCAAAGAUUCACAUGGAUCUUUGGCCAAAGAUUUAUCGGUAUGGGAUGGGCCUGCGUCUGAUUAGCUAGUUGGUGGGGUAACGGCCUACCAAGGCAACGAUCAGUAGCCGACCUGAGAGGACGACCAGCCACACUGGGACUGAGACACGGCCCAGACUCCUACGGGAGGCAGCAGUGGGGAAUUUUGGACAAUGGGCGAAAGCCUGAUCCAGCAAUGCCGCGUGUGCGAAGAAGGCCUUCGGGUUGUAAAGCACUUUUGUCAGGGAAGAAAUCGUUUGGGCUAAUACCCCGAGCAGUUGACGGUACCUGAAGAAUAAGCACCGGCUAACUACGUGCCAGCAGCCGCGGUAAUACGUAGGGUGCAAGCGUUAAUCGGAAUUACUGGGCGUAAAGCGUGCGCAGGUGGUUUGUUAAGACAGUUGUGAAAUCCCCGGGCUUAACCUGGGAACUGCAAUUGUGACUGGCAGACUAGAGUGAGGCAGAGGGGGGCGGAAUUCCUGGUGUAGCAGUGAAAUGCGUAGAUAUCAGGAGGAACACCGAUGGCGAAGGCAGCCCCCUGGGCCAUCACUGACACUCAUGCACGAAAGCGUGGGGAGCAAACAGGAUUAGAUACCCUGGUAGUCCACGCCCUAAACGAUGUCUAUUAGUUGUUGGGUCUUCAUUGACUUAGUAACGAAGCUAACGCGUGAAAUAGACCGCCUGGGGAGUACGGCCGCAAGGUUAAAACUCAAAGGAAUUGACGGGGACCCGCACAAGCGGUGGAUGAUGUGGAUUAAUUCGAUGCAACGCGAAAAACCUUACCUACCCUUGACAUGCUAGGAAGUCC
RNAcentral lists this ribosomal RNA (963 nucleotides) under uncultured bacterium. Its description in RNAcentral is "bacterial SSU rRNA". It matches the Rfam family "Bacterial small subunit ribosomal RNA", at positions 59 to 999 of the family's 1533-position model. The record is from RNAcentral.